Molecule: non-coding RNA, 572 nt
Organism: Antechinus flavipes (yellow-footed antechinus)
Lineage: Eukaryota; Metazoa; Chordata; Mammalia; Dasyuromorphia; Dasyuridae
Source: the annotation of a RefSeq genome assembly
CAGAGCUUAGUGUGCAGAUGGAGUCUUCAGCUCAACUCCUCUUCCUCCUGUUCCUUUGGUUCCCAGAUUUGAAAGGGGAAGUUGUUCUGACCCAAUCUCCAGAGACGCUCUCUGCAGCUGUAGGAGAGAGAGUCACCAUCAACUGCAAGGCCAGUCAGAGUCUCUUACAUGGUAAUGGGCAUACUUACCUACAUUGGUAUCAACUGAAAAGAGAAAAACCUAUUAAAUCUCUGAUUUACAGAGUUUCCAAUCUAACUCCUGGUAUUCCCUCUCGAUUCAGUGGUAGUGGGUCUGGGACAGAUUUCACUCUCACAAUCAGCAGCCUAGAAUCUGAAGAUGGUGCAGUGUACUUCUGUGGGCAGAGCACUUACUGGUCUCCUACACAGUGCUACAGCCCUGAACAAAAUCAUUCCCUGAGGUCAGGGGGACAGCUGCUUCCCCUAGAGUCCUACAUUCACAGCAGCUACUACGCUAAGGUUAAGAUAGACUUUUUCUCAGCCCUCAUCUGAGAAGACCUUUCUUCAAUCUAUACUACUUACCUCCCUGCUUAAGAUUGAGUGUAACAUGAUGGA